Molecule: ribosomal RNA, 352 nt
Filed under: Enterococcus faecium
Lineage: Bacteria; Bacillati; Bacillota; Bacilli; Lactobacillales; Enterococcaceae
Description: bacterial SSU rRNA
Rfam family: Bacterial small subunit ribosomal RNA
Source: RNAcentral
AGGUCUUGACAUCCUUUGACCACUCUAGAGAUAGAGCUUCCCCUUCGGGGGCAAAGUGACAGGUGGUGCAUGGUUGUCGUCAGCUCGUGUCGUGAGAUGUUGGGUUAAGUCCCGCAACGAGCGCAACCCUUAUUGUUAGUUGCCAUCAUUCAGUUGGGCACUCUAGCAAGACUGCCGGUGACAAACCGGAGGAAGGUGGGGAUGACGUCAAAUCAUCAUGCCCCUUAUGACCUGGGCUACACACGUGCUACAAUGGGAAGUACAACGAGUUGCGAAGUCGCGAGGCUAAGCUAAUCUCUUAAAGCUUCUCUCAGUUCGGAUUGCAGGCUGCAACUCGCCUGCAUGAAGCCGG